GAUGAACGCUGGCGGCGUGCCUAAUACAUGCAAGUCGAGCGAAUGGAUUAAGAGCUUGCUCUUAUGAAGUUAGCGGCGGACGGGUGAGUAACACGUGGGUAACCUGCCCAUAAGACUGGGAUAACUCCGGGAAACCGGGGCUAAUACCGCAUAACACUUUGAACCGCAUGGUUCGAAAUUGGAAGGCGGCUUCGGCUGUCACUUAUGGAUGGACCCGCGUCGCAUUAGCUAGUUGGUGAGGUAACGGCUCACCAAGGCAACGAUGCGUAGCCGACCUGAGAGGGGGAUCGGCCACACUGGGACUGAGACACGGCCCAGACUCCUACGGGAGGCAGCAGUAGGGAAUCUUCCGCAAUGGACGAAAGUCUGACGGAGCAACGCCGCGUCAGUGAUGAAGGCUUUCGGGUCGUAAAACUCUGUUGUUAGGGAAGAACAAGUGCUAGUUGAAUAAGCUGGCACCUUGACGGUACCUAACCAGAAAGCCACGGCUAACUACGUGCCAGCCGCCGCAGUAA
RNAcentral lists this ribosomal RNA (515 nucleotides) under uncultured bacterium. Its description in RNAcentral is "partial 16S ribosomal RNA". It matches the Rfam family "Bacterial small subunit ribosomal RNA", at positions 28 to 523 of the family's 1533-position model. The record is from RNAcentral.